This 407-nucleotide ribosomal RNA is filed under the name Vibrio alginolyticus. RNAcentral's name for it is "bacterial SSU rRNA". It matches the Rfam family "Bacterial small subunit ribosomal RNA", at positions 388 to 788 of the family's 1533-position model. Lineage: Bacteria; Pseudomonadati; Pseudomonadota; Gammaproteobacteria; Vibrionales; Vibrionaceae. The record is from RNAcentral.
GCAGCCAUGCCGCGUGUGUGAGAAGGCCUUCGGGUUGUAAAGCACUUUCAGUCGUGAGGAAGGUGGUGUCGUUAAUAGCUGCAUUAUUUGACGUUAGCGACAGAAGAAGCACCGGCUAACUCCGUGCCAGCAGCCGCGGUAAUACGGAGGGUGCGAGCGUUAAUCGGAAUUACUGGGCGUAAAGCGCAUGCAGGUGGUUUGUUAAGUCAGAUGUGAAAGCCCGGGGCUCAACCUCGGAAUUGCAUUUGAAACUGGCAGACUAGAGUACUGUAGAGGGGGGUAGAAUUUCAGGUGUAGCGGUGAAAUGCGUAGAGAUCUGAAGGAAUACCGGUGGCGAAGGCGGCCCCCUGGACAGAUACUGACACUCAGAUGCGAAAGCGUGGGGAGCAAACAGGAUUAGAUACCCC